Molecule: transfer RNA, 65 nt
Filed under: Lema sp. EMHAU-15071010
Lineage: Eukaryota; Metazoa; Arthropoda; Insecta; Coleoptera; Chrysomelidae
Description: tRNA-Arg
Source: RNAcentral
AAAUAAGAAGCAAAAAUUUUUGCAUUUAGUUUCGACCUAAAAAUUUGGCAUAUAGCCCUUAUUUA